UGGGGAAUAUUGCACAAUGGGCGCAAGCCUGAUGCAGCGACGCCGCGUGAGGGAUGACGGCCUUCGGGUUGUAAACCUCUUUCAGCUCCGACGAAGCGCAAGUGACGGUAGGGGUAGAAGAAGGACCGGCCAACUACGUGCCAGCAGCCGCGGUAAUACGUAGGGUCCGAGCGUUGUCCGGAAUUACUGGGCGUAAAGAGCUCGUAGGUGGUUUGUCGCGUUGUUCGUGAAAACUCACAGCUCAACUGUGGGCGUGCGGGCGAUACGGGCAGACUUGAGUACUGCAGGGGAGACUGGAAUUCCUGGUGUAGCGGUGGAAUGCGCAGAUAUCAGGAGGAACACCGGUGGCGAAGGCGGGUCUCUGGGCAGUAACUGACGCUGAGGAGCGAAAGCGUGGGGAGCGAACAGGAUUAGAUACCCUGGUAGUCCACGCCGUAAACGGUGGGUACUAGGUGUGGGUUUCCUUCCUUGGGAUCCGUGCCGUAGCUAACGCAUUAAGUA
Molecule: ribosomal RNA, 501 nt
Filed under: uncultured Actinomycetes bacterium
Lineage: Bacteria; Bacillati; Actinomycetota; Actinomycetes
Description: bacterial SSU rRNA
Rfam family: Bacterial small subunit ribosomal RNA
Source: RNAcentral